RNAcentral lists this unclassified non-coding RNA (347 nucleotides) under soil metagenome. RNAcentral's name for it is "partial contains 5.8S ribosomal RNA, internal transcribed spacer 2, and large subunit ribosomal RNA". The stretch from base 4 to 119 matches the Rfam family "5.8S ribosomal RNA", at positions 39 to 154 of the family's 154-position model. The record is from RNAcentral.
GAUAAGAACGCAGUGAAAUGCGAUAAGUAAUGUGAAUUGCAGAAUUCAGUGAAUCAUCGAAUCUUUGAACGCACAUUGCGCCCGCCAGUAUUCUGGCGGGCAUGCCUGUCUGAGCGUCAUUUCAACCCUCAUGCCCCUAGGGCGUGGUGUUGGGGAUCGGCCAAAGCCCGCGAGGGACGGCCGGCCCCUAAAUCUAGUGGCGGACCCGUCGUGGCCUCCUCUGCGAAGUAGUGAUAUUCCGCAUCGGAGAGCGAUGAGCCCCUGCCGUUAAACCCCCAACUUUCCAAGGUUGACCUCAGAUCAGGUAGGAAUACCCGCUGAACUUAAGCAUAUCAAUAAGCGGAGGA